CAAACAUCGCCUCUCCUUCCCAGUGUCGUUCGUCCCCUCCCCCGCUGCAGCGUCGUCCUCUCCUUCUCUUUCUCCUGGAUUCACCGCCUGCAGAGUUUUCUUCCGCCGCCGCUGCGUGUUCCUCAACAGAGUUGGUCAUUCUCAUUCGCAUCAUGUCUCCGAAAAAGCAACCAUCAAUUAAUUUUAACUGGACGCGACCUAUGGAUGAUGCUCUUGUUGAUGCAUUCCUACGUGAGUUCAACAAAGGAAAUAAAGUCAAUGGUUCAUUUACUUCUACGGCAUAUCAAAAUAUUGUUGCAAAGUUAAGUGCUAUAUUUGAUCUUAACACUGACAAAGAGAAGAUAAAAAGUCGUUAGAAAAUGUUGAAGAAGAACUUCUCGGAUGCUCACGAUAUAUUUCAAAGUGGUACGAACGGAUUUACUUGGAAUCCUUCUACUCAAUCGUGGAAUGCCAAACCGGGAGUUUGGGAUGCUUUAAUAGAGUCAAAACCUAAAGCUGCAUAUUGGAGGAAUAGAUUUUCCCACACUAUGAGAAAAUGGUGAUAAUUUAUGGUAAUGACCGAACAAUUGCAGAAGGUGCUGAAACUCCAUCAAAUAUAAGAAAACACCAACAGUCAACUAGUGCAAAAGGCUUUGUUAGCGUCGAAGACUUGAAUAAUUUAUUUGCUCAAAAUGAGGCGACUUUGGAUGAUAGUCAUACUUUCGAUGACUUCUCUACGGAUGAUUUGUGUAAUUUAUCAGCUCACGAAAGCAAUUGACAAAAUCCGUUACGCGAAGCAACUAGUGGAAGCAAGAGCGAAAAGCAAAAAAAGUUCAAAGGGAAAGGCAAUGAAAUUAAGGAAAUCGGAGAAGGAUUGAAAGAAGUGGCAAAAGCAAUACAACAAAGUAACACUAUAAUGGAAAAGAUUGCCAAUGUUAUGGAGAAGAAAGUGAAUAGUAAUGCACUUUCUGGAGAACAAAUUUGGAAUUUGAUAAAGGGAUGCGGAGUUGUUGAGGAAUACUUGGUUCGAACUUAUUGUUUUCUCAUGAACAAUCCGAAUCAACUUCGUGCAAUUAUUGAGUGUCCACUUGAUGUCCGAAAGUCUGGUGUUUAUCUUUUUUCCUAUUAUUUAUAUUUAUAGAGUUUGAUAAAAUGUAAAUUUGUAGUUUUUUUUUUUUUUAAUGAAUAGUUCAAAAUU
This is a long non-coding RNA of Andrographis paniculata, 1177 nucleotides long. RefSeq lists it as uncharacterized. NCBI's taxonomy places the organism in Eukaryota, Viridiplantae, Streptophyta, Magnoliopsida, Lamiales, Acanthaceae. The transcript is spliced from 3 exons. The record is from RefSeq and is a predicted model, not a curated record.